AGCAUGAGUAGUUUGUUCCGAAAUACUAGCGUUGGGAUUGCUGUUCGCCAUCAUGCAAUCGGCCCUCCGUGCCACCCCUGGGGUUUUUAAUGCCACUCGUGCCCACACUCAAGUGUUUUGAAGAAUGUAAAAUCCAGUGUGUGAUAAACAUGUGUAAAGAAACCUUUCGUAAGAAGCCAGAAGAACUUUACAACAAUCUUGGACUGGGAGAUGGAGGCCAUCAUAAACUUCUUGUAGGAUGAGUUGCCGCAGACAGAGAUGAAAACCAUGAUGAAUGUCCGUGAGCCAGAGGCUAUGAUUUGUUUAGUACAACAAUGCGAGGGACUUAACAAAAUUGAGGCGGAAAUAUUCUUGAGGAAGUGUCGGUGCAU
Molecule: long non-coding RNA, 371 nt
Organism: Lineus longissimus
Lineage: Eukaryota; Metazoa; Nemertea; Pilidiophora; Heteronemertea; Lineidae
Exons: 5
Source: RefSeq, a predicted model, not a curated record